RNAcentral lists this ribosomal RNA (523 nucleotides) under uncultured bacterium. Its description in RNAcentral is "bacterial SSU rRNA". It matches the Rfam family "Bacterial small subunit ribosomal RNA", at positions 985 to 1509 of the family's 1533-position model. The record is from RNAcentral.
CAUCCAGAGAACUUGGCAGAGAUGCCUUGGUGCCUUCGGGACCUCUGAGACAGGUGCUGCAUGGCUGUCGUCAGCUCGUGUUGUGAAAUGUUGGUUAAGUCCCGNAACGAGCGCAACCCCUAUCCUUUGUUGCCAGCGAUUCGGUCGGGAACUCAAAGGAGACUGCCGGUGAUAAACCGGAGGAAGGUGGGGAUGACGUCAAGUCAUCAUGGCCCUUACGAGUAGGGCUACACACGUGCUACAAUGGCGCAUACAAAGAGAAGCGACCUCGCGAGAGCAAGCGGACCUCAUAAAGUGCGUCGUAGUCCGGAUCGGAGUCUGCAACUCGACUCCGUGAAGUCGGAAUCGCUAGUAAUCGUAGAUCAGAAUGCUACGGUGAAUACGUUCCCGGGCCUUGUACACACCGCCCGUCACACCAUGGGAGUGGGUUGCAAAAGAAGUAGAUAGCUUAACCUUCGGGAGGGCGUUUACCACUUUGUGAUUCAUGACUGGGGUGAAGUCGUAACAAGGUAGGCGUAGCGAG